AGCUGUCUGAGCUGCCCGGGCAGCGGGGGAGCAGCGAGCGGGCUUCCGCGAGCCGGAGGAGGCACAGGCCUGUCCCGGGUCCCGGCAGGUCUGCGCGUCUGUUCCCAGCGCUCUGCGAGGCCUAAAAAGGAGGAGCAACCUGUCCAGAAUCCCUGCAGGACUGCCCAGUGGAUCAGAUGAGGUAUUGAACAUGUGAGCUGUCCUUACAGGAGCAGGACCCAGCACCCUGUCAGACACUUAAAAGAAGAGCUGAAGAUGGAAUCUCUUAUUGGCCAGGCUGGAGUACAGUGGCACAAUCACGGCUCACUGAAGCCUUGAGUUCCCAGGCCUCUAACCUCGGCCUCCCAAGGAACUGGACCACCUGGGACCGCAGAUGAGGAAGCUGAGUCACAGAAGAUUGAGUAGAUUGCCUAGUGUGUCUCACAGAAUGGAAGGGGAAAGAACCAGAAUAGAAGCCGUGGCAAUUUUAAGCUGUCAAGGAUGAAAGGUCUCGAACUGAAUGAUUACCAAUUUAGAUCUGGGGGCUCAAAAAAACAAAAUGUGAUGUCAAGAAAAAGUGAAAGAUUGUCUCCCAUGAAAGUGACAAGAGAUGAAACAUGCUGAAUGAGCCUAAAUGGACAUGAUGGAGAUAUGGAUGUGGAUUAAAACUGAGAGUGUUGGGAUAUAAGGAUAUAAUACUGAUUUAUGAAGGUGAACAGUCAAACGUCAGUGCAGGAUCUGAACUGCAGGGGGAAUAAGGGGCCUUGGUGGCUAAGGAAGGGAGGAGGGGAGAAAGAGGUGGUACUAGGGGAAGUAGCACAGAGGAAGAGGCAAUACUACCCGAGACUAGAUGCGGACCGUCUCUGGCAACCAGGAAAAGGCAAAUACAAAGAGAGGUCUGCUGGUCACAGCGGGGCACCUCGAGGAGAGGACGACUAGGAGCACACGGCCCGGAAAGGUCCAGGUCAGGGAAGGGGUACGCAGUGGACCGGGACUGGGGCGCGAGGGUGGACGCCGAAAGGCAUGGAGUCUGCAGGCCGCACUGUCCCGCCCCUGUCACUGCGGGCGAGGCCUGUAGCAAAGCCUGCUGGGA
RNAcentral lists this small RNA (1072 nucleotides) under Pan troglodytes (chimpanzee). RNAcentral describes it as "processed transcript". The record is from RNAcentral. Lineage: Eukaryota; Metazoa; Chordata; Mammalia; Primates; Hominidae.